CACGUAGGGGCCAAGCGUUGUCCGGAUUUAUUGGGCGUAAAGAGCUCGUAGGCGGCUCGGUAAGUCGGGUGUGGAACCUCCAGGCUCAACCUGGAGACGCCACCCGAUACUGCUGUGGCUAGAGUCCGGUAGGGGAGCGUGGAAUUCCUGGUGUAGCGGUGAAAUGCGCAGAUAUCAGGAGGAACACCAGCGGCGAAGGCGGCGCUCUGGGCCGGAACUGACGCUGAGGAGCGAAAGCGUGGGUAGCAAACAGG
RNAcentral lists this ribosomal RNA (254 nucleotides) under uncultured bacterium. Its description in RNAcentral is "partial 16S ribosomal RNA". It matches the Rfam family "Bacterial small subunit ribosomal RNA", at positions 524 to 776 of the family's 1533-position model. The record is from RNAcentral.